UCGGCUAUGUUCGUUCCCCUUUAAGAAAGCAGUCAGUGUACUUACGUAUGAAGUCACGUGGUUAUCAGGAAGUCAAACAAACAGAAGCCCGGUAGGCUAACACUACAAGCAAACGUGAUGGAGUGCGGCUUAAGGGAGCUUCACCAAACUUUCACCCGACAUUAACUAGACUCUUGGUGGCAUCCAGAUGGGCUUACACCUGCUGUCCUCCCUGGUUUUCACGAUUUCAGGUUUCUCCAAUGAGGAUACCCCAUGACCAAAAACAAGUGAACGGUAAGGCGGGCUAUGAACUUGAGUACUUACACUUUAGCAAUACGAUAAUACCAUUAUGUCUUGUGGUUGGGAUGAAAAUGUAUUUUAAUUUAACAUUAACAUGGCAUGUUUUAUUCUAGGAAAAAAAAAGUUACUCUUUUGAACAACUGCACAGUCUUCCUCUGGACUCCAUCUUGCAAAGUAAUAUUCACAUGAAAUCUUAUUGAGUCCCUUUAUUAAUGAUGUUAUGGAGCCAUUCAGGCCGAAAAUGGAAUUUCUUGCCUGUUUCCGAGACUGUUUCCUCACAAUAAUUUCCCUCAACCAGGACACACAAUCAUUUUGACCAGUCUAAUCUAUGAAAUAGUGUAUGUGUGGGUGGUGGGGGGGAGCUGGAAUUCUAUGAUAGGUCUACUUUUAUUAUUAUUGUUAUUACAUACAGUGUAUUUAUUUAUUUUUUAACAUAAUUUGGAGAACUUCGGCAGAGCGAAUUAAAAAGGCUCUAUUGCCCUCUGGCCAUAGUUUGCCCAACUCUAACCCAUCAAAGGACAACACUGACAUUCAUUCUAAAGAGAAACUGAAACAGCUCAGGAAACAUGAGAAGACAGCCUAUUUGGAACAUAAGGGAUGCUCACCCUUCAAGCCGGACAUCGGGUAAUGAACGAUUCAGUGCAAUCAUCUCAGAGGCCAUAAGGUUGAACUGGUUGAUCUUAAACAUCUCCUUCAUCUUUUCCUGGUUCUCCUUUGGGAUCACCACAGGCUUGCCUCCCUCCCCCGGCCCGUCCCGCGGCCUUGCCAGAGGGUCUGUGGUGAAGAUUUAAAAAGUCAGUUUGUCCGUUGCUGACGUACAAUGUACACACGAAUACUUACCAUCUCUAUCAGGCAGUCCUCUUUCCUUCUUGUCGUCACACUUGUUGCACUCACUGAAGUAGAGCAGAAUGAACAUGUCCAACAUUACCCACACCAGAGAGGUGGCCAGAACCACUUUGCAGUAUGCGAACCUCCGCAUCCUGAAAAUCACCUGAAAUAAGAGAUGUAAAAAGAGAAGCGGUUAACAAUGAAGGAAGUGUGCGAGCACAUAGAUAUAGACACUUAUCUUUUCCAAUGUGGGCACAUUUCUUACUCAUUCCCCUGAAUUGGCAAGCUCCCCUGCAUUUCCUUUUGUAAACACAACCCUCUGUUAUUCUGUCAGUCUAUUUGAGUUGCCUCAUAUCUGUAGCCGGGCUAAUGACAUCUUCAGAAAAUCUCUAAAAGCGAUCUUGAGCAUCAUCAAGUUGGUUUCAGUUUCAAAAAUAUGAAUGUAGUGGAGAAAUGACGUUUAAAUCUGCUGAAUGAGCAACAAUUCAGAGUUUUGCAGACAAUGGCAGUUUAUCUGCCAGGUACAGUCCAUAUAUGGCAAUUUGGCAAUUUGCCCCAUCCUCCCACUCAAGUGGGCUUGUUGGGUAGUAUAAGCCCUUUGUGCCAUUGUUUAACCACAAAAAAAUGACUAAACAGUGCUGUGAGCAUUAAUGUCGGUGCACAUUGAGACUCUGCUCAUAAUUUUUCAGCACCAUUGGAAAAAACACAUGAAUAACAAUGCUUUGUUUCAAUGUUGCCCUAGUACCCCUUCGAGAAAUAGAAAUGAAUCAUAACUAGAGGAGCAGGACUCCACCUGAGCAGGCAAAUUCUAAGAUGUAUUUGGCAUAUUUGGAGAGUGAGCUUUUUGCCUUCAUGCCUCAAAUUUUCACAAUUCUUUGUCUUCACAACAUAUCUCUUAAUUAAUUUACAAAUAUUCAGGUAAACAGACUAUUCCGUUAUCAAGUGAUCGCAAAAUUCACUUUCUGACCUCUGUGACCUUUGACCUCAUGACACCAAAAUGUAAUCACCUCUUCCGUUUCUUAUUACAAACAUAUCCUACAACUUUAAUAAUAAUAAUCCCUUAAUUGGUUCUUGAAUUAUAGUUAGCGUAUCGUAACUUUGCUAACUUAAUUUGACCCAUUUUGAAACCAAUUUAGAAUUGAACAUGAUUAAAAAAAAAGCGAGGCACUCAGGAAGUAGAAAUAUAAAAAGCCUUUAUUAAAUCAUGGCUUUGUUCAGAUUAAAAAUGCCGUGUUUCGGCCGUGUUCCUGAGUGCCUCAGUUUUUUUGAAUAAUCACUUUUUUGAUUCCCACACCGAAGAGCACCAGAAGUAUACUUUCUACAACCAGCAGCACUCCAUGCACAUCAUAAUAUACUAAAAUUGAACAUUUCUAAAAAUUGUACAUCAUACAUUAUACCCGUAAAUUAAAUGUUACUCCAUUUGAGCUCAGUAACGGUUGAAGUCAUUCUUGGAUUUUUACUGACAUUCUGUCACUGAGGUGCAGAUGUUCACAGACAAAAUUUAAAACACUGAUAUUAUGGUGGAAAAUGUAUUUAAUGACUCAGGUAUCCACGGUAACAGUUCCUUUUAAAAUCAAGGCAGACAGAGUUUUGUUUUACUUUAAAUUCCACUUGUACAAUUUAAGAGCUAGUGAAGCUUCUUUGCUUAAUCCACCAUUCACAAAGGAUAGGAUAGAGAACUCAGAUAUUGUAUUUGCCUUUACAGCAUAAUCCAUAAAAACAAGAGUGUGCUCAUCAAGAGCGAAUUAUAAUCUGCCAAAGAACACCAAUAAUCCAAUAAGCAAUCCAAUCUAUACUUUUCUUUAAUAAUGGUAAAUGGUGUUAUACUUAUAAAUCGCUUUUCCACCUUUCAAGGCGCUCAAAGCGCUUUACACUAUCUCACUAUUCACCUACUGGUGACGCAGCACCAGGAGCAACAUGGGGUUCAGUAUCUUGCUCAAGGAUACUUGAAGAAUCAAACCCACAACCUCUGGGUUGGGGGACAACUACUCUACCACUGAGCCACGCCACCCCGCCCAUAAUAAUAAAAAAUUGAAAAAUAAAAACGGCAGCUACACCUUGUGUAUUGGAAUUAAUAUUUUAUACUUCAUAGCAGUAGUUUUUAACCUUACCAAAAGUACCAAGCUCCAGCUCUCAUGUGCAUUCAGCGUACCCUAAUUAGACAAAAAAAUCAAUUUGUGCACAUUCAAAACAGGUAUACACAUUUUUCACUGUUAAUGGGGACCAGAACCCCUCGCGAACAGUGAAAAACAGCAAAGUAGGAUUUAGACUCAUCUAAAUUUGGACGGAAUACAAAAAUGGGUCCCUGUGUGUGUCUUAUCCUUCGCCGAACCCCUUAGACUUACUCACCAGACCCCUAGGGUUUGAUCGAACCCAGAUUGAGAAACACCAGGAACUAAACAAUUCUUUAGAUCAGGGGAUCUCCAAACUAUUCCACAUCGGGCUACAGUGGGUACACGAUUUCAUUUCAACCAAACAAAAUGACAUAUUUUCACCAAUCUGGUGUCUUCCAAGUGUAAUCAUUUGAUAUGCAGUCAAGUGAUGCUUGUUUAGGCAGAAACCACAUUGGUUAAACUGUAUAUGCUGGAUAGGCUUGAACAAAAACCGAGACCCACAGCGGCAGUGGUUUUGAGAACCCUGCUUUAGAUAUAUGGAGGGUGAAAGAGAUCUCCAUCAUACUUCCUAAAUAACCUGCAGAGAUUAUGGCAGGCCGAUUAUCGGCGCCAAUAUUUUACAGAUAUUGUUCCUGGCCCGUUUUUAAAUCCGACCGGCCAGUAUGAAAUAAUCAAUCAAUUAUUUCUAGAGGUGGGAAUCUUUGGGGACCUAACGAUUCGAUUCCGAUUAAGAGGCUACGAUUCGAUAAUAAAUCAAAUAUUGAGGACCCUCCCCCCCAGCUAUUAGCAGCUUUUAAUGUUUUGUACAUUACUUUCAGGCUUAAAUAAACGACAAUUUCAGUAUCAAGAUAACAGUUCAAAACAGUAAAUAAAAUACAUUAAAAAUAUAAUAAAAAGUCCCCAUUCUGUACCACCAGCUUUGAAUUACAUUCAAUUAAUUUAAUGUUGUGAGCUAAAAUUGCUCCCGUUGUUCCAUAUUUUACCUUCUGUCUACUUUUGACAUGUGAAUGUUUUAAAACUGUUUUAAGGAUCGAUUCAAGUCAUGAUUUUGCCAAUUUAGGAGUAUUUUAGAUAAAAAAGUUAAUUAGGUUCGCUUGGAAGGUUCGCUACAACAGCCUUCCAGGGAAGUCUACUGCUUUAAGAUGACGGCUGUUUACUAAACCCGGCAAGUCUGUCAUUUCGCAUCUAGUUUUCUAUACACAUGCUGCUAACGCCGCAGAGUCUGUCAUUUCGCAUCUAGUUCUCUAUACAUGUGAUAUCUACCAUAGCAUUAUGUGGACGUAGUUUUUAGCGGCUGUCGGCAGCAGUCAGGCAUUAUCAGGGUCCCCCCAGGAUUGAUAAAUCUAAAUUCAAGACUUUUAUGACCUUUUUCAAUGCCAUUUCAACUGAAAUCUCGCUGACGAGAACCAAUCAUCGGCCCAAGCUGCGUUCCGUUAUUCCAAACGCGCGCACUCCUUACGUUAACAUUGAGUGCUCGGAGAGCCUUUGGUUGCAUUGCAAAGCUGCGAAAACAAAAAGCACGCCUUAUCCACACCCGGGGCAGACCAGAGCGCAGCAUACACACUUGCCUGUAUUUGCCAGCAGAUUGAAUUUGGUGAGUAAUGGUUUCAAUCGUUUUCACAUUUUGCGAUAUAAAAAAGUUACUGCCAUUCGUUGCAGCUUGCGUUGAACACUGCCAGAGCUCGCCAAAUCUCCCAUGAAAAAAAAUAGCUCCCGUUAAAUUGGCGUCAAGCUUGUGUAUUUAGCGGUAAUAUAAACGAAGAAACACAUUGUUGAGUCAAAUUAAGCGGCAUGCUCUCGGAUGGAGGGGGGCGCCUCGUAUCGCUCCCGUCGUCCACCUGAGACGCGUUAUUUUCGGCUGGGACUGGAGCUGACGGCCGGUGUCGGCACAACACCGGCCCGACGAGUGGUGGGAAUGACUCUUGCUUCUUAAAGCUUUUCAGAAAUACAGGGAUCCCUCGUUUUUCGCGGUUAAUGGGGACCAGAACCCGCCGCAAUAAGUGAAAACCGCGAAGUACCCCCCCCCCCCCCCCCCCAUUUUUUAAAUGCGUGUUCAAUGUAUUUAUUCAGAUUUUACAUUGGAAAAAAAAUACAUAUAUAUAAGACAUGUUUUUUCACUUUUUUCACCAAAGUAUCAUUUAUAAAUGGUUUUCAAGCACUUCAAAAUGUAAGAAUUAUGAUAAGUUUUAAACAUGUUACUGCCCCACCGAAUUAUUUUUUAAACAAGAAUAAAGUAGUAAGAAAAUGCUUGGCUUUAUUAAAUGCUUCAUAGUGAGUCUACUCAAACCCUUUCAGGCUUUGUUAAACGGUGAUUGACACAUGUGCAAAGUUUUUCUUUUUAUAUAUAUUUUUUUGUUUGAAGCGACUUAUUUGAUUGAAUAAUAAAGACACAAAUGUCCUAGCCAAAAUGUGGCCCAAAUGCAAAACAACAUUACUUCAAUGGAAAAAUUUGUUUCAAUCAAGAAAAAGUUUUCAAAGUUUUUUUGUCUCAAAUUUAUUUUUGCAAUCAAAAACUAUUUUUUUUAUUGAAGUGAUUUUUUUGGGAUUAAAGGUAUAUACUGUAUUUUGAUUGAAGCAACUUUGUUUUUGAUAGAAGUAACUUUGUUUUUUGAUUGAAUAAUAAAAACACAAAUCUACCACCAUCGUUAUUGAGAGAAAGAAAUUAAGAAAGCUUUAAAACUAAAAGCCACCGGGGAGUCUGCUUUUUUUUUUUUUUUUUAAUAUUUAUAUUUCAUUACAUAGACAUGCCUCGUAGGGAAAGGAGAUUGAGGGAUAAAAAAAGGAGUUGGAUGAGGCUGCUAAAGGCAGUGGAUACCUCAUCAGCUGGGUGAAUAGCAGACCUGGUAAGAACAAGUUUGCAAGGAUAGUCGGGUAUUAAAUACAAUUAUAAACACAAUUACAAUGUUAUUUUUCUAUAAGAUUUUAUGUCAUUGCUUUACUAAUCAUUAGGUGCUAGAGUUGUUAAGUAUGGAUAAUAAUGAAAUAACAGUUUUGAGAAAACUGUGCUGUUGGUGGCUCAGUGACCAUCUGAUGUGGUUUGUUCUCAGAUGAACAAGUUGAGGAAGGAAGUUUUGAUGCAGAGGUUGAAGGAAGAAAAGAGGCAGACUGACUGAGUCACAGCCAGAAAGUGUUGAUGACAGUUUUGAUUUCUAUUCACUGUUGCCCCCUCCCAAUUAAAGUAUGUCACAGUCGCAGCCAAUUAUUAUCUAAAGCUGGUUAAAAUUGAAGUUAUGUUCUUUUAAGGUGUAUUAAAUACUUGUUCAUGUGCUUCUUUUGAUCUACGAGCACCUGCCCCUCCAUAGGUCUCUGCACGGCCCUGCUGAAACACAGUGUGGGUCGACAGAGCUCAAUAUUUUGUUGGGGUGUACAGUGUACUGGAACAUAUUUCCUCCACACCCUUCUCACCUUUCACAUUUUCAUGCCUGGCUAUGAGAGUAUGAGUCUGGCCACCAUUCAGCAGAAAAAAAUUUCCAGGGCGGAGCCAGCCACAACAAAUAGACAGCGGAGCGGACCAAUCAGCGACGGGCUGACGCGAUGUCGGUAAAGCGACAAGAAACUAGCGAGAGACAUUUCAACAUAUUCAACAUGGCUCGCGCGAGACAGACUGUUGGUUUUAGCGACUCGAUGUGUUUUUGGUCAUGUAAAACCGAAUUUACCGCGGAUUGGAACAUAUUGCCGCUGAGUCUGGUGUACCAGGCUACGGGACUACUGUCUGUUGCAUUCUGCUGCAUUUGGCGCGAUCCGGCGACACCGCAUACAGCAAUUUAUAUUACAUUCAGUGGUCUCAAAAUGCCCUAAAGAGAUGCACCAGGCUUGAAAAUGUACACACACACCCGACCCCGAGGGUCAGAGACCCUCCCACCACAAUCUCCUAAAAUCCUGUGGGAAACACUGUUCUGAAAUAACUAUAUAUUAACGAUGUAUGAAUGAUAAACUAAGGAAUACUUGUUAUAAAAUAAAAAAUUGAUUAAAAAAAAAAAAAAAGGCGCUGUAUGGUAAUUGCAGAGACAGAGCGUGCCUAUACGCCCCUUUUAAUCUUCCCCUCUGCGAGUCCGCAAAACCGCAUGUGUUUAUUUAUAUUUAACAAACCUUUCCAGCGUUAUUUCGUUGUGCAAAUAAAUUUAUAAUGAUCAUAAAAGUAUGUAGUCUAUUUAAACAUUAAGAAAAUGUGCGUUUUUUUUCUGCCAACUGAGAAUUCGUUAUAAAAGACAGGCUUUUAUGCAGACAUCGUCACAAAUGUUAUCACACAAAAGGCGGGUCGGGCUUUAAUACCCACGGACCAGUUCGGUUCAGGCUGGACUUUUUAGGCCAGAUUUUACCUCUAUCUUAAAGUCUUGAUGAGCUUAAAAUGGCUGCAGUUAUGAAGUUGGUAAUGCUCCCUCCGGAAAAAAAAACACGAUUUGACCAACAUUAUGUUUAACAAACUUUUCCAGCUUUAUUUCAUUGUGUAAAUGCAUUUAUAAUGGUCAUAAAAACAUGUAGACUAUUUAAACAUUAAGAAAAUGUGCGUUUUUUUUCUGCCAACUAAAAAUUCGUUACAUACGACAGUUAAGACAUCGGGAAUGCUCCCUCUGGGAACAAAACGCAAUAUGACCAAAAUUGUGACAGCCGAUGCAGACCAAAAAUGACGUAAUAUCCGAAACAGAUCACCAAUGGACUCAUUUGAAUGGUGGUCUGUUUUGGUGUACAGAAUCUACAAUACUUCUGCCUGCAGGGUUUUCGUUCCACCGACAAACAGACGCAUUCCCGAUGCAGAGGUGGAUGGAUUCUCCCUUUUGCCAGUUGUGGUGGUUUGGGACGCACGAGUUGCAUUUCGAUUUGUAGUGCAGUGCAUCGUAAAAAUUCUAUGCGUCAUCUUCGUUAUGGAUUAAAAAAAAAAAAAAAAACUUUGUCACGGAUAUAAUUUAGGUUGCACUGAGAUGUUCUUGAAAAUUAAAACCACCAUGAAAAAAUUCCAGACUUACAACAGCUAAUUUAAUACUUUUAAUACCUUUAAUAAUGGAAAACUAAAUUCAAUGCUUUUUUAAUACUUUUAAUAACCCGCGGGUACCAUGAUUAUUGUUUUUUUAUCUAGUGGCAUGAGUUGAGCCAGAGCCGUGAGUUGAGCAUUGUCUUUACCCGGGUAAUGACAAGCAUGAUAUUUACUCUCGGUCCGUUCCUCAUUGCGUCCCGAAGACCACGCUGACUGUGUUUUAGUUCUGCUAUACUUGACAUAUUUCAAUUAUCCGAAUUUGGAUGUUUGUGAAUCGUUGUCGAAUCUUCCACAGCCGAGUCGCGAAUAAUCUAAGAAUCGGAAAUUUCGCACACCUCUAGUUAUUUCGGCUCGGAUGCAGCCGCCCCUCUCUCUUGCCUGCUGUCUCUUGCACUCUUGCACUCCUCUGGUUGGUUGAUUUGUAAUGGUAAAUCGAGUUACACUUGUAUUGUGCCUUUCCACCUUUUUAAGGCCCUCAAAGCGCUUCACACUAUAUCCUCAUCUACCAACUGGUGACGCAGCAACGUGGAGUUUAGUAUCUUGCUCAAGGAUACUUAGACAAUGUCAUCAGGGCAGAGAAUCGAACCCACAACCUCUGAGUUGGGGAACGACUACUCUACCACUGAACCACGCAACCCCCCCAAGCGGCAGAGGCAUUCAAUAAGCCACUUUUAGGCAUUUCAAUGAAGUUCAGUGUUUGCAUUAUUAAUUUUUUUUACGCCAAUGUUAACACUUUUAGUGCAAAUGAAUAUCAAAAUCGGUUAUAGGCCCCUCUAACUACUAGCGGUCCCGAAAACCCCAUAUCUGUCGAUAAACCAAUUUGCAAUUUGUAGAAGCAACACAGAAAAUGUCUGUGUGCACGAUUGUGCUUUAGUACACACAAACAUUUACGCACCAAUAACAUAACAUACAGACUCUGAGAGCGGCGCGAAAGAAGCUGUGGCAGUAAUUGCUUUUCUUUGGCAGGCAGUGACAGACAGAGUCACAUUAAAAUUCCUGUGCUCUCUUUUCCGCCUCUCCUACAGCACCAUCUCUUCCACUCUGACUGACUCGUUGCUUCACUCAUCCCUUAGGUUACAGCAGCAAGAGCAGAAGGAAGAAAAAUAAUUUGGGCAUGGUGAUUUCUCACUCGUCCCUGGGAGACAAAAAAGUGUUUGUGCAUAGCCAACUUGGCUGCAGUCUCCUGUAGUUUAGCUUGGGAGGAUGUAGAACUGCAGCGCAGCGUUUCUAAAUUCCACCUGAUAGGAUUGCGGUGCCACAAAGUGCCAUGCAAAGCAAAACGAUAGAGUGAAGAUUUGCUUGGUCUCCCGACAGAGCAAAAGACUGUGUUGCCAGUGAAGCAGUUUUCCAAGGUUAAAACAAAAUGUUCCACAUGCUGUAUAUCACAGGUUAUCAUAGCUAAUGUACCCAAGAUUUUUCACAAUUAAAAUUUCUGAUUAAAAAAAACAAAACAAAACAAAAAAAAAACAUUCAGAUUGGGUUAGAAUCAGCGUGGAGUGUUUGUGUGGUUAUACAUUUGAAAAAAGGUUCAAGGCGUAUUUUCAAAAACGUUUAGGUUACAUUUUUAAACAUUAUUAUGCAGGUUGAGAAGGCCGUGUGGAGUUUGGCACCCCCUGUGUUGUGUCUCUUUGUGUUUAGUGUGACGCAGCUUGGGUCUUAUCCUCAAAUUAGAAAACGCCUUGAAAGCAGUGUUUAAUGAUUCAGACUUUGUUCAAGGAGAAAGGUUAAAAUUUGUCUGGGGUGAGGCUAAGGUUACUAGUAUGAAAUAAUUGGGCCUUAUUUACAGCGCGACAACCCCUGGCAAACUGAAGUCGUUUUAAAUGUUAAUUUUCUCGUUUUAAGAAACCGUUUUAAUAAACACUAAAACAAAUCGUGAGAAUAAAACGUGGUAGUUCGUAAAAGUUUUUUUUUUUUUUUUUAGACUUAGCCGAGGGGGAAAAAUUAAGGAAUCACUCAAUUUUGAGGAAUGAAUUAUGGAAUCAAACUUCUUUAAGAAGGUAAAUCAUCACACAUUGUUGAAAAAGAUGUUGGUUUUUCACAGUAAGCCGUCUCUAAAAUCUGUACCAAGGACAAACAACAUGGGAAGGUUGUUAAAGACAAGCAUACUGAUAGACCAAGGAAGACAUCAAAGUGACAAUAUCCUUAAUAAUGUUCCGGAAAAUUGCAGAUGUUUUUGAAAUCCAGCGUCAUGUUGUUAAGUACUGAAAGUCACAAUGUAAUAUUACAGCAUUUUAAUUUGUACAUGAAACUUUAAAGUUUGAAAGCCAACUGAGACAUUGCAAUCGCAAGAGAUGAGUCUUUUACCCAAAGGAUGGCGGUGUCGCCUCCACAAUCAGGUCGCAUUUUCUAUGCUAAUUUUUGAAGUUUUGAAUUCAUUUUCUGCACUAAAUGGAGGCCUACAGAGAUCAAACCAAUCUAAGAACACUCCCAGACACAAAGUACAACUGUGUAAAAUUUCCUCAAAAUCUGCCCAGCAUUUUCAGAGUCCAUAGGUAACGAACACACACACCCAGACAUAGUUCCAUUUAUAUACAAGUGUAAGUAUAUAUGUAGAUCUCAAUCCAUUUGAAAAUCUGUGGUGGUUGAUGAAAAAAAUGGUCCAUGAUAAGGUUCCAAUCUGCAAAGCUGAUCUGGCAAAGACAAUCAGAGAAAGUUGGAUCCAGAUUGAAGAAGAGUACUGUUUGUCACUCAUUUGGUCCAUGCCUCUGAAACUGCAAGCUGUUAUAAAUGCCAGAGGUGGUGCUACAAAGUACAAGUGGUGUGUUAAGUGUCUUUUUGUUGUUGUUUUUUCAUGAUUCCAUAUUUCUUUGCCUCAGAAUUAAGUGACAGCCACAUCCUUUUUAAAAAAUUUAUUUUAAGUGCUCCUAAAGCCAGACAGUUGCAAUUCAAAAUGACUUUAGUUUUGUGUCAUAGCUGUUAUCCGCUUUUUUCCCCCUACAAAUUUAAACAAAUGCAAUAACAUCCUCCGAAACUGGUGAUUCCAUCAUUUUUGUUAGGAGUUGUAUUUUGGUCAGGGAUUCCCCUAAACUGUGUAAAGAAGCUAGGACAAAUACUGUAUAAAAGAACUACAAAUAAAUCUUAACAGUACCAAUGGCCCAAAGCUUGCACGAAUACAACAUCCUGAGUCCUGGUUGGUCAAUUAAUAUUUCAAACCAAGUAGGGCAUUUAGAGUCCCAAAAUGAAGUUUUUUUCUUAUUUUUAUUUUUUUUAAGCCAUUGUGUCAUCUAAACCAGGGGUCACAAACCACCGGUCCGCGGACCGGAGUCACUCGAUACCGGUCCACAAGAGAAAUAAAUAAAUAUUUCAGUUAAACCUCUCACACACAAGACUCCAUCGACGCUCUAGUAUGGAAAUCAGGAGCCUGCAUCUUGGCGCUCGUCAUACAAAAAAUAUGGCAGCACACUGUGAUUACGUUUCAGAGACAAUUUUUUGUUUCAGAGUGAUGCCAACGGCGCUUGGUGUGCGAUAAACAGCGGCAUCGGCUCUCGGGUACACUGUGCGGAGGGCGCAAUGUGCGUUUCAUGCAUAAAGACUUUUUCAGACGAGUGGUAGUAGUGUGCAGCUUGCAGCAUGGAAACCCAUUCCUUAUUUACAGUGUAUUACAAAAGUGAGUACACCCCUUGCAUUUCUGCAUAUAUUUAAGUAUAUAUUUUCAGGGGACAACACUGACAAAAUGACUCUUUGACACAAUGAAAAGUAGUCUGUGUGCAAUUCAUAUAAUAAGCUUAAUUCAUUUUCCCCUCAAAAUAACUCAAAAUAUAGCCAUUCAUAUCUAAACCCCUGGCAACAAAACACAAGUACACUUAGUGAAAGUUGUCAAUAUGUCAACAACAACACGUAAAACAUACACAACAUGUCAACUGUCAAUAUUUUGUGUGGCCACCACUAUUAUCCAGAACUGCCUUUACUCUCAUGGACAUGGAGUUGACCAGAGCUUCACAGGUUGCCACUGGAAUGCUCUUCCACUCCUCCGUGACGACGUCAUGGAGCUGCUGGUUAUUUGAGACUUUGCUUGAGGAUCCCCCAAAGAUGUUCUGUUGGGUUCAAGUCUGGAGACAUGUUUGGCCAGUCCAUCACCUUUACCCUCGGCCGCUUCAGUAAAUCAGUGGUCAUCUUGAAGGUGUGUUUGGGGUCAUUGUCAUGCUGUCACUGCUCUGCGACCCGGUUUCUGGAGGGAGGGGAUCAUGCUCUGCUGCAGUAUUUCACAGUACAUGUUGGAGCUCAUGUUUCCCUCAAUGGAACUUAACUCUCCAACACCUGCAGCACUCAUGCAGCCCCAGACCAUGACAUUCCCACCACCAUGCUUGACUGUAGGCAUGACACACUUAUCUUUGUACUCCUCACCUGGUCGCCGCCACACAUGCUUGAGACCAUCGGAACCAAACAAAUUAAUCAUCGUCUCAUCAGACCAUAGAACAUGGUUCAAGUAAUCCAUGUGCUUUGUUGACGUGUCUUCAGCAAACUGUUUGUGGGCUUUCUUGUGUACCGUCUUCAGAAGAGGCUUCCUCCUGAGGUGACAGCCAUGCACACCAAUUUGAUGUAGAGUGCGGCGUAUGGUCUGAGCACUAACAGGCUGACCCCCCACCUCUUCAAUCUCUGCAGCAAUGCUGACAGCACUCCUGCGACGAUCUUUCAAAGAAAGCAUUUGGAUGUGACGCUCAGCACGUGGGCUCAGCUUCUUUGGACGACCAACCCGAGGCCUGUUCUGAGUGGACCCUGCUCUUUUAAAACGCUGUAUGAUCUUAGUCACUGUGCUGCAGCUCAGUUUCAGGGUGUUGGCAGUCUUCUUGUAGCCUUGGCCAUCUUCAUGUAGCGCAACAAUCUGUCUUUUAAGAUCCUUAGAGGGUUCUUUGCCAUGUGGUGCCAUGUUGGAACUUUCAGUGACCAGUAUGAUAGUGUAGGAGCUGCAUUACACAUUUGAACACACCUGCUCCCUUUGCACACCUGGACCUAGUAACACUAACAAGUCACAUGACAUUUUGUAGGGAAAAUGACAAUCAGUAUUCAAUUUGGACAUUUAGGGAUGUAGUUUCUAAGGGGCAUACUCACUUUUGUUGCCAGGUGUUGUUGUUUGGAUAUUAAUGGCUAUAUUUUGAGUUAUUUUGAGGGGAAAAUAAAUUAUAUUAUUAUACAGUGGUACCUCUACAUACGAAGUUAAUCCGUUCCAGGAGCUUGUUUGUAAGUCGAAAUGGUCGUAUGUCGAGCAGGAUUUUCCCAUAGGAAUACAUUAUAAUUCCAUUAAUUCGUUCCACAGCCCAAAAACCUGCACUAAAUCCUUAAAAAAUACUGCUGGUACUAUUACAAAUGGCAAUUACAUAUAGCAAAACAAAUAAAUAAUAAAUAAAAAUCGGAUUAAUAAUAUAAUAAUAAUUCCUGUAAUAGUGUAACGAAACGGGCUCUAAUAAGGCGGACGUUUUUUUCUGUACCUGAAGGCACCGCGGCGCUGACGUGACAAAGAGGGAGGGGAGCGGGUGAAAGUUUACUUUCGCUUUCAAUGCUUUCUUGAGAACAUCGUCAAUUGCGGCAGACAGCAGGCGUUUUGUGUUGAAUAAGUUGUGAAAGAAAUGAUGAAAACGUGGCGAAGCUGGCGAUUUCUCUGGAGAUGUUACCACAAUAAGAAUUGUCAGCUUAACUUAUAAAGACUGGCGAACGAUGGUCGGAGGAGGACCGUGGAGAUGUAUUGUUGAGCCAUUUCACAGAUGCCCACCCUACGCUCAUAUUUUUCUGUCAUUUGCAUCUUCAUUUAGAAGGUAAGCGUCAACUUUUUCCUUGUUUCACCACCUGUACCAACCUUUUCUGAAACCUGUGUUGAUUUGUCACACAAGAAAAUCCGCCAUGCAUUCGUCUGCGGUGCUGCCAUUGUCGUCGUAUUUCGAGCAUGUCGUCGGAUGUAGAAACAAAUGGCGAGUCAAAUUUUACGUCGGAUGUCGAAAAGUUCGUGUGUCGAAGCGAUCGUAUGUAGAGGUACCACUGUACUACUAUAUUACUAUACUAUUAUAUAAGCUGCACACAGACUACUUUUCAUUGUGUCUAAGUGUCAUUUUGUCAGUGUUGUCCCAUGAAAAGAUAUACUUAAAUAUCUGCAGAAAUGCGAGGGGUGUACUCACUUUUCUGAUACACUAUUUUUGUCGGACUGUUCCCUCAAUAAGCUUUCAUGAGGUUUCUAGAGCGUUGGUACCUUUGAAUAGUGGAUGUCAACCACGUUCUCACUGAAACUUGUAUAGCCAUUUAAAUCGCGGCCUCCUAUUUGAAAUAAUAAAAGUCGUAGCUUUCAAGCUUGUGACUGUUUUGUUUGAAGUCGUAUUGCACUUUGACACCCCCCACCCCAAAUAAUAAAAGUCAAGGCUUUCUUGCGCAACGAUUGAAAAAAAUUAAGGGAUGAUGAAGGAAAAUGUAGGGAACAAUAGGGGCCACUCAUCUAAACAGACGGUAUGGGACCAUCGUUACCUUCAGCCAGCAGCUAGAAGUGACCGAAUCAGAUCUUUGGCUACGUUCAUACUACAGGUCAUAAUGCACGAAUCCUAUUUUUUCGUGUUUUUCCGACUCGAGUGAGGCAUUAACUUGACGGUCUGAACGUGACAAGUCGCAUAGAACUGGACCAUUUCGUUCAAAUCCGAUCUGGGUCACAUUUUUCCAGACUGUCGCGGCGGUCUGUACUGUCCAGUCUCUCAAAUCGGAAUUCAUGCAGCAAUUACGUCAUCAAAAAGCGAGAGAGACGCCACAGUAGCGGUGCAGCUGUGCGUUAUUAGUGCCUAGCUUGCCUUGAACACGGCUUUUUAGGAAGAGUCGGACUUGACAAUAGUCAUAAAAAAAAUAAAAAUGGGUUGAGGAUAAGCCUGAGAAUGAUCGGUUUUCUGUCUGGUCCAUAUAAGCAAUAUUUCAACAUUGCUUACAUGGCCGAGAGUCGGGGCAAACUGCGCGUAUGUGUGUAUAACAUGCAGGGACAGUGAGUGCAUGCUAUCGAUCCAUAUACUUUGAAUAUAAAACUAAACUGGGAUUAUUUAUGUCUGUUAUUAGAGUCCUCUUUUUAAAAAGCAAAAUAUGAUAUCCCUGGAAUGACGGAUGACACAGCCAGCAUGUGUGGUCAUUUAUUUUGAUGCUUCUGCGCAUGCGGGUCGUCUUGCUCAGCGCUUGUCGGGCUGCGAAUUAGUGUGCAUGCGUAAUACUUGAACGGUCUCAAUGGACAAAGUCAGUCUGAACGGGCACGCCAAAAAAACAGAUAUGACAAAAAAUCGGAUUCGUGCAUUAAGACCUGUCGUAUGAACGUAGCCUUUGUGCCUUAACUAUUAUAUAAGCUGCACACGGACUACUUUUCAUUGUGUCAAAGUGUCAUUUUGUCAGUGUUGUCCCAUGAAAAGAUAUACUUAAAUAUCUGCAGAAAUGCGAGGGGUGUACUCACUUUUGUGAUACACUAUUUUUGUCAGACUGUUCCCUCAAUAAGCUUUCAUGAGGUUUCUAGAGCGUUGGUACCUUUGAAUAGUGGCUGUCAACCACGUUCUCGCUGAAACUUGUAUAGCCAUUUAAAUCGCGGCCUCCUCUUUGAAAUAAUAAAAGUCGUAGCUUUCAUGCUUGUGACUUUGUUUUGUUCGCAGUCGUAUUGCUCUUUGACCCCCCACCCCAAAUAAUAAAAGUCAAGGCUUUCUUGCGCAAUGAUUGAAAAAAAUUAAGGGAUGAUGAAGGAAAAUGUAGGGAAAAAUAGGGGCCACCCAUCUAAACGGACGGUAUGGGACCAUCGUUACCUUCAGCCAGCAGCUAGAAGUGACCGAAUCAGAUCUUUGGCUACGUUCAUACUACAGGUCUUAAUGCACGAAUCCGAUUUUUUCGUGUUUUUCCGACUCGAGUGAGGCAUUAACUUGACGGUCUGAACGUGACAAGUUGGAUAGAACUGGACCAUUUUAAAUCCGAUCUGGGUCACUUUCGUAUGUGGUUCAAAUCCGAUCUGGGCCACAUUUUUGCAGACUGUCGCGGCGGUCUGUACUGUCCAGUCUCUCAAAUCGGAAUUCAUGCAGCAAUUAUGUCAUCAAAAAGCGAGAGAGACGCCACAGUAGCGGCGCAGCUGUGCGUUAUUAGCGCCUAGCUUGCCUUGAACAUGGCUUUUUAGGAAGAGUCGGACUUGACAACAGUCAUAAAAAAAAUAAAAAUGGGUGGAGGAUAAGCCUGAGAAUGAUCGGUUUUCUGUCUGGUCCAUAUAAGCAAUAUUUCAACAUUGCUUACACGGCCGGGAGUCUGGGCAAACUGCGCGUAUGUGUGUAUGACAUGCACGGACAGUGCGUGCAUGCUAUCGAUCCAUAUACUUUGAAUAUAAGCCUAAACUGGGAUUAUUUAUGUCUGUUAUUUGUGUCCUCUUUUUAAAAAGCAAAAUAUGAUAUCCCUGGAAUGAUGGAUGACACAGCCAGCAUGUGUGGUCAUUUAUUUUGAUGCUUCUGCGCAUGCGGGUCGUCUUGCUCAGUGCUUGUCGUACUGCUAAUUAGUGCGCAUGCGUAAUACUUGAAUGGUCUCAAUGGACAAAGGCAGUCUGAACGGGCACGCCAAAAAAACAGAUAUGACAAAAAAUCGGAUUCGUGCAUUAAGACCUGUAGUAUGAACCUAGCCUUUACGCCUUUAAUUGACUUGACUACGAUUCUUUAAUGACAGACUCACAAACUCUGAUACUUUCAAAUCAGAGCUAGGCCACUUCCAUAUGUGUUUUUUUAAUCUGACAUGGGUUCGAUUUUUGGGAAUGUGACUGCAAUCUGAAAAGUACGGUGACCCAAAAUCAGAAUUCUUGUUUGUGACAAGGACGUCAGUUUAUAUUGCUCAGGAACAGGUGAAAUAGAUGGAGGACAGAAUGAAUGGAGAUUAAAAAGUGUUACAGCUAAUAAGUGUUUGAGGGAGAUGAAACAAUUCAAAGGUGACUUGGGCAAUCCUAAUUAGUCCCUCAAGGAAAUAGCAGCAAAAAAGCUUUGAUUCUGUGGAGAACAACCCUGAUUCUGCUAAGAGCAAUUCUGAUUCCAUGGCUUGAAAGAUGUUUAAAAAACAACCCAAAUGACCAGUUAUGAAGCAAAUUAUUGCAAUAAUGAUGCAAAGGUUGUUAUGAAAUUAUUUUCAAUACAAAAAUACAGCCAAACAUUUUGGUUAUAAUUUAAUAAACAUAAUUAUUGUCUUAUCUCUCUUGGGCACUCUUGCAUUCUAGGCAUGAAUGUCACUUCAGGGCCAUUAUGUACAGAAACAACAAAAAAAAGAUUGGCUAUGGCAAAAAAAACAAACAAACAACAAAACAAAACAAAAAACAAAUUGUGCAUUGAGACCUGUUGUCUAAACGUAACAUCUGCGAGUGUAUGAUGUGUUGCAUUAGUAAUAGUGUGUCAAUUUCGUUAAUUUAGUCUCUUCCUUUCCUUUUUUAAAAGCUAGUCUUUCUGUGAUAUUAAACAGACACACACGUCUGCACUCUUCCUCCUCCACGAACACACCUUCUAUUUCCAUCUUUUAAAUCCCCAUCCUAGUCAUCUUCAUUUAUCUCUCUGCCUCACGCUUUAAGAAUGGUUGCCUUCGUUACUUGUCUACUAGUAUACAGUUUCCCCUUUAGCACCCUUCUCUGUCUCUUCCAAUCCAUUACUUUUCUCAUCUUAACCAUGCAUGGAUGUAACACAGUCAGAGGAUUCGCAGUGAUAUUCUCAUAUGAUUGCAAGAAAGGCAGUGAGUGCCCUUCAGUAGAUGCAAUAUUUAUAUGGGUAAAUGUAAUAGAACGAGCGAGAAAGAAAUUAUGUACUGUAUGUAUGGAUGAGCUACAAUGAGAGGGGAGCAUGAUUUGUACUGUGAUGUUAUAAACUGCCGACAUGUUGAAAUGACUAAAUAGUGCAAACCAGGUUGACAAGCUGUCCCAAGGUCUUUUGGGUUCCAUCAACUCAACAGCAUCCAAGACAACACAGAUGCAAGAUGUGAAUGAACUGUUGUAAAGCUUCAAUUAGAGAAGAACAAGGCACAGGCUACUAUUAACGAAGUGAAACAGAACAAAACGGCCCUGAGGUUUGUAUUUAACCACUGAUGUGGAGGAUCUUAUUAAUCCACAGAUGCUCGGGGAAAGUAUGAUAAUACAAUUUAUGGGUCAACAUAUAUAAUCACUGCCCAAUGAUAAUUUCGCAAAUCCACUAAAAAGUCAGUGUUACGGAUGGGGAGUAAUUUAUCCUUUUGUUCAGGUAUGUUUGUUUUCCCUUUAUUUUGUACUGGUUUAUGGUGGUUUUCACCUGUAUCUUUCCUUUGCAGUAUUCUCCACCUGUGUGAUUACAGAGGGCCCUCCACAGCUGGAGCCACUUCAUCAUUAGUUCAUCAUCCAAUCCUGUGUUCUUCCUUCGGUUAUAUAAGUUGAAUUGUUUGGCUUGUUCAGGAGAGGCGGUGGCAGCUCUCAAUUUGGUUGUCUUGGUUUGUUGAAGCCUGCUUUGACUUUGGUUCUGUUUGUGAAGUUUGCUUUCUGCCACUUUAUUAAUGAUCUCUUUUGUCUUUUUCUUUAGGUUGGCGCAGAGCACAGCGGUAGGGACUUUAGCUAUACACCUGCAGGUAUACAUCGUGUCUCCCACCUCACGUAGGUAACCCUCUGUAUUAGUCCAUUAAAUAGAGCGGCAACACGACCCAUGUAUUUUGGGGCACAAUAGGUGCCUGCCACGGUAGUUUGGGGGUUGUUUUGGGUUCUAGGUUUAGUUGCGGUUUUUGGAACUGUUUUUUUGGGUGUUUGCUGCAUAGUGCGGGGGCUUGGGUAAAUGUAAGUGUGCUCUGUGUCCAUUGUUUGUUUUCUGUUAAAUAAACUUUUCAAUUUGCAAUUUUGAUUUGUCACCGCCUCCUCCUUACACACCUACCGUCUUAUGUUACGCUCGCAGCCCCUGACCACCAUUGGUACUCGUAACAUUUGGGGGCUCGUCCGGGAGCUUUGUGGUUCCGCGGGGACGGUAGGUGUGUUGGUGUGCAGUGGCGGUCGGAUUGCGAGUUUUGUUUAUUUAACUUUUUGUUGUUUUUGUUGUUUUUGGUAAUUCCCUGCGCGCCCUGGUAGACAAUGGCCACGGGUUUUAGUGUUGGGGUUUUCUUGGCUGGUCCCGCGGUGGGUCAAUUGGACCAAUAUAGAAAAGCGGAUUUUUGUGCGAUCGGUGCGCAUUUUGGAGUUGAGCUUCCAAUGUCUAAUUCUUGGGCACAGCUGAAGGCGUCGGUCGUUGACUUGCUUGUCAGGGAGGGCGUGUCCAUUGAGGGGUUGAGGGUCAUUUGGAUUCUCAGGAGGAAAUUCCUCCCGUUUUUCAGGUUGAGGCGUGAGACUCCUCCCAUUAGCCGUAGGUCCUCUUUGGAUGGCGCCGGUUCGUCCCCUCGGUUAAGGGUUCGCUUAGCUCGCUUGAAGCUCGAGAGGGACCGUGAGCUCGAGUACAAACAUCAGCCAUGUAAAAAUUAGAACUUGAGGCUAGAAAUGCUGUCUGAUUGAAGGAAUUGGAAAUUAAAAGGCUUGAUGUAACGUUGGGGACUAAUUAGGUUGUAACUCUGGGUGAUAAUUCGUCACGUAAGCCGUUUGACGCUAGUCAGCAAAUUGUGCUCGUCCCCGAAUUCCGCGAGUCGGAAGUUGACCAGUAUUUUGAGACCUUUGAACGAAUAGCCACAGCUUUUAAGUGGCCACCGGAGGCGUGGGCGCCCUUGCUGAAGAGCAAGUUGAUUGGGAAAGCUCACGAUGUGAUGAAUAAAAUGCCUCUGAGGGAUAGCAUGACUUAGGCUACAUUAAAAGAGACUGUCCUGCGUUCAUAUAGCCUGGUUCCUGAAGCAUACACACAGCGUUUUCGGAUUCACAGAAAAGCCCCGGAAAAAAUAUUUGUGGAGUUUGCUAGUGAAAAGCAAACUCUUUUCAAGCGUUGGUUAAAGGCGAGUGAAGUCACGGAUUUUAAUUCGCUCUGUGAUUUAAUUUUGAUGGCGGAUUUUGAAAAUAGCCUAUCGGAUCGGUUGGCCACUUAUUUAAAUGAACAGAAGGUCACUAAUGUGUCCGAGGCAGCUGUGCUAGUAGAUGUGUAUGUAAUUACUCACAGGCAGCAUGUUGAUAAAAAAGAUGACUUUGAGAAACGGGACAAAAGUAAAUUGAGUUUUAAAAGCCGGUCUUGGUCAGGGCGGGGGUCAUCACCUCCUUCGGCAGAACGUCGCUGUUUUCUUUGUCAUAAAAACGAUCAUUUAAUAGCCAACUGUCCGGAGCGGAAAAAUAAAGACCGAAAGGCUGAAUCUUCUCCGAAUGGGUUAUGCACUGUGCGUUCUGAACCAGUUCGAGUAAACGAAGGUGGGGUUUCCGCUUACGAACCUUUUAUGCUUGACGGUUAUGUUUCUUUAGGCUCAGGUGAAAAGUGCUCAGUUCGCAUCCUCCGUGACACCGGAGCUGCCCAAUCUUUUAUCUUGGGUGAUGUAUUGCCUUUUAAUGAAGGGUCUUCAUGUGGCUCGAGUGUAGUGGUCCAAGGAAUUGGCAUGGAAUACAUCACUGUACCUUUACAUUGGAUAAACCUGUCAUGUGAUCUCUUGGCAGGCACAUUUUCAGUUGGGGUUCGUCCAUCAUAGCCGAUGCCAGGCGUCACUUUUCUGUUGGGGAACGACAUCGCCGGUGGUAAGGUCACACCUGUGUUGGAAGUCAUACAGAAACCUGAUGGGUCGCAACCGGAUGAAUUGGGGCAGGCUUACCCUGACGUGUUCCCGGUCUGCGUCGUCACUCGUGCACAAUCGAAAAAGCUGGAUAAUAUCGUCGAUUUAUCGAACACCUUUUUUGCGGACGGCUUAGUUGACCCCAAGAAGAGUGCGACUGCCGAGUCAGUUAAAAGGAUCAGCAUUUGAUGCAGUUUCUUUAACUAUGACUCGCAGAAAUCUGACACCAGUUUGACCAAAUAUUUUGAGGCUGUUCAGCACCCGCAUGAAUUCAAGAAUAAGGAUGCAAAGUGUUUUAUUAAGGACAGGUUGCUUUUAAGAAAAUGGAAGUCUCGUUUGGACACCGUUUUUAGUGUUGUUCAAGUAGUUGUCCUUGUACGUUACCGCCAUGCAGUGUUAUCGUUAGUUCAUGAAAAUGCAUGGGCGGGUCAUUUAGGGGUGACAAAAACUUACGAUCGUGUAUUGGGACAUUUUUUUCUGGCCAGGUUUGAAAAAGGAUGUUGUGCAGUGUUGCCGUACAUGCCACACUUGCCAAGUGGUGGGGAAGCCAAACCAGAGGCUUAAACCAGCACCCCUACAUCCUAUCCCUGCGCUGGGCGAACCAUUCGAACACAUCCUUGUCAAUUGCGUCGGCCCGCUACCUAAGACGAAGAGUGGUAAUCAAUAUUUACUCACUAUGAUGUGUGUCGCGACAAGAUAUCCUGAAGCAAUACCUCUCAGAAAAAUAACAUCACCGUCUGUAGUCAAGGCUCUGAUAAAGUUCUUUUCUACCUUUAGGCUGCCAAAAUUGGUAUAAACUGAUCAGGGUACUAAUUUCCUUUCUGGUAUUUUUGAGCAGGUUUUAACAACAUUGUCUAUCACACAUCGAACAUCUAAUGCAUAUCACCCGGAGUCACAGCGAGCGUUGGAGAGAUGGCACGGCGUACUAAAAUCAAUCUUGCAGAAGUACUGUUUUGAUAACAGUAGGGACUGGGAUGACGCUGUCCCUUUAGCUCUCUUUGCAGUCAGAGAGACUGUACAAGAAUCCCUAGGUUUCAGUCCAGCAGAGCUCGUAUUUGGUAUUUCAUCGUAAAGAUGAAAUCCUAGGUCCGGGACUGUCAAAGAAGAGAAACAUCCUCAGUUAUGUGAGCCGGUUUCGUGAGCGGCUACACAUGUAGUUUGGCCAAGGAGAGUUUGUCGGGAGCGCAGAGCAACAUGAAAAAACGGUAUGACAAGAUCGCCGUUUGUUGUUCGUUUGGGCCGGGUGACCAGGUACUGGUCUUGUUACCUGUUCCAGGUUCAUCAUUGUCUGCUCGGUUUUCAGGUCCAUAUACUGUGGAGAAAAACCUCAGUGAAACCGAUUACGCCAUCAAGACUCCCGACCGUAAGCGAAAAUCACGUGUAUGCCAUGUUAACAUGCUCAAACCAUAUCAUAACCGUACUGGGAGAGGGCCUUUAGUGGCCACAGUUGCUGUGACUGUUCCCAGUUCCGAGGAGUCCUCAACGGAGUGUGAUGACUACGGGUUGGACACCAGUAGGCUCCAGUUGCAAACUCCUCGGUUGUCUAAUACCAAAAUGUUGAGCAAUUUGUAGAGUCUGAUGACUCAUUUAAGGGCUGGUCAGAAAAAGGAUUUGGAGUCUUUGAUUUUUAAAAACACGGUGUUGUUUGGUGAUGUUCCAUCUCGAACGAACAUCUUAAAACACGAUAUUGAUGUCGGAGAUGCACGACACAUAAAACAACAUCCAUAUCGGGUUGACGCGGUUAAGAGGGCGGCCAUGAGACGGGAGACUCGAUACCUUCUCGAGCAUUAAACACCGAAAAGGUGUCGACAAUGUAUUUGCUGAUGCCCUGUACCGUUGAGGUCAGUAGCGGGGUGAUAUCUAUUUAUUUUGUUGUGGCAUCUUUGGUUUUGGGCAGUUGCCGGUUCGGUUAAUUCUCCAUAACUUUGCUACCCUUCUGAAUUUCGCUUGCAUUGGAUGGAUGGGCUAAUUUUUGGACCAAUUUUCGAUACCAAUAUGACUGAAAAAACAAAACAAAACUUGGUACAGUUGAUUAAUUAUUGACCGUAUUUAGUAACAACUUACAUACAUAGUAACAAGUAAGUACACAAUACAAACCAUGCCAAUGUGGUAAAUAUAUUCAGUAUAUAAUAUAUAUAUUUGUAGUUUUUCUGUCUUAACUGUCUUAACAUUUUUAACUGCCUUAUGGUAACUUCCUUAUCAUCAUGGAUGGAAGCCCAUAAAUUCCUCGUCAUCAUCACUGUCACUUUAACUUACAGUAACAACUGGGGUUUUUUGUGUGGUCUUGAGGUCGCUUGGCAACAUUGUUUGUUGUGAAAGCCAAGAUGGCCGCACAACGUACACAGAGUCAGCUUCAGCCGUGAUGUUGGUCUUUAUUUCUUCCUUGGGUAAGUUUUGUUCGUAAAUAUGUUUGACUGUAUUUUUUUACAUUAGACAUUGGUAGUUCAUUUUGAGCGUAACUUGUCUGUAUAGUUCGAGUAUGUAGCUAACGCUAAGUAGCAUGCUUUUUUAGUUUUACAAUGGUCUAAAUUGGGCAAUCGUCAGCAUAUCGGGCCUAUAGGUCGCAUCUGCAUUUUUGGGCAAAAAGUUAAAAAAUUGCGACCAAUACGCAAGUAUAUACUGUAGAGUCUAAUGCCCCUUUCCCACUGAAACUAGUGGGUCAACGCGCGUUUUUUCCAAGCCGAUGCAACCCACUAGCAAUUGGCAUUUGGCACCUUUCCCAUUGAAAAAAAAAAAAAAAAAAAAAGCCGUGUCUUUUUUGUUUUUACCCCCGUCUAACCCUCCCACCCCUCCUCAUCCGUGCGUAAGGUUACGUGACGUCACCACGCUAAAAUGCGCUUCGAAAAGUGCGACUAAAUAAAUUCAGUUCAAGGAAGUAAACAAUGCAGAGCAACUCCUUUCCGUUUGUGUUCUCUGUUUUCAUGCUUUUUACUGCCCUCCAAAUGGUCGAAAUGCAGCAAAGGAUCAACACUCUGCUUGUGCUGAGGCAACGUAGGCGACGUGAAUUCUUCUUCUUCAACUAGCUUUGUUGUUAGCAUCGACGUAACUACGGUUGUGGGGCGUGUUAAAUGGGAGGCGACUGGCACGUUGUUAUGACGCAUCACGUAAGAGCCUACGUCACCACGUAGAUUAGGGUGUUGACUGUUGACCCGGGGUUUUGCUUUCACACUGCAUGACAAUCAGAGCCGAGGUGAUUUUAACGCGGGUUGAUUGACACGGGUCGAGGCUGGUCGCUGCACCUUUCCCACUGCCACCAAAAGCCAAUUGUUAGUGGGUUGACACGGGUUUUUUGGCCAGUGGGAAAGGGGUAUAAUAGAAGUGUAAUUAUUAACAGGCCUUCUUGCAUACAGCUUUGUUACUUUUAUUUAAAAAAAAAAAAAAAAAGUAAAAUAGUAGAUGUUGUAAACCAAUGCAAUAAUGCCCAGAGUUAAUAACUCGGAAUAGGAAAAUGCUUACAGAGGAUACAUGCUAAAAAGUGACUUAUCAAAUUUACCCUCACCAAUAUUGAGAGGGAGUCAGACAGAGGAAAUUCAGAAAACAAAGGGAGAAAGUGCCCACAAAAACAGCUAAGAUUGAUCACUAAUUUAAAGCUUGGCAUGAGCACGAAGUGGAAUUAAAUACUCUAAUCACUCACACAUUCUCAGCCAAAGUCAAUACAUACAGUAUUACUUUCAAAGGGCUACACACAUCUAGCACCACACCAAUCCUCCUGGAAUGAAUAAGACCAUUGUAAUGUAUUUGCUCCUUUUAUCAUUAGAAGAGAAAAAUAAACAGUAAUGUGACACCAUGCGCUUAUUGGUGUAAAGCCACGCUCAUAAAUAGACAUCCAUUUCAAGUCACAAAACUAGCCGAGUAAGAUAUUUGGAGGAGCAGGUUUGUGUCUGAGUGUCUGCUGCUUUCCUACAGUUAAUUCUCCCACUCCUAAGGGCUUUUUGCAUCAUUUAAAUGGCUAUCAAAGCUUGCCUUGCUCAGCCCACUGACCACUCAAGUCGUCGUCUCAGUUUUCGAUUGUAUUAAAUUCCUUUCUUUAUUAUUUACAAUAAAAAAAUAUAUACAUUCAUAAAUCCAUUAUCUUGCAGCUAACCCCUUGAUAUACAUCAUCUGUGGUUCAUAACAAAAUUGAUGGCAGCUUUGCAACAUAAAAUAAAUCCACAAUAUAAUAGCAUAAUUGAAUUAAAAACACUUAACAUUGCAAGAACAGUCAUCCAUACUCACUCACUCACUCACUCACUCACUCACUCACUCACUCACUCACUCACUCACUCACUCACUCACUCACUCACUCACUCACUCACUCACUCACUCACUCACUCACUCACUCACUCACUCACUCACUCACUCACUCACUCACUCACUCACGUUCUUUCCAGAGCCUAGCUUAGCUUCCAACAUCCAAUAUUGCAGAAAAUUAAUGUAAAUAGUAUAGUAAUGCAUACAAUACAUAAUGUACAAAAAUUGAAGGCACAAGAUUAUAGACCGUAGUUUUUGGUCCAGCGAAUCCACUGUGUCUGAGAAUAAAAGAAAAAAAAAUCAAAGGUGUGACCGGCUCAGUGUCAAUCAAUUGCUGCGCAACUCAAGGGCAUGCUCCUGCAAACCAAGUGCUGAUCUGUUAGCUUGGGCUUUUGAGCUUUGCUGAAAUUGCAUAGCAGAAGCCUCAACCUACAUAAAGUAAAAAUAUGCCCCCUAUUUGGCAAUAACCGGGCACUAUACAAAUAGAAGUGAAGUUACACUAAAAGUAUCCAACAUUGUUAAAACUGCAAACUUUCAACUCAAACCUUUUCAGGGGUCUCUGAUCAGAUGUACAGGGGGCUCCGCCUGCAGAGAAGGCUGAGCAUCAGAGAUCCCACUUCCUCCUUGACUUGUCACUCCAACAUGCUCCUGGAGGAGAUGAGACAGAAAGAGCAAAUGAAACAAUCGCAGUGUACUAUGCGUAUAUAAAAAACAACAGAGUCAAUUCCCACUAUAAACUAAACAUGUGAAGCAGGUUUUGACCUUUAAAAGAAAGAAUGCAGACAGUACAGAGCAGGUUCCUCCUAUGUUGACGUUUAGUCAUACAAUAUAUCAAUCUUUAUAAAUCAUUUGAAGUACUCAGAAACCUGCAAAUCUUAAAUAUUUAAAAGAUACAAAAUUAAAUGAAUGACUUCAUGCAUUUGACUAGCAUAUUACACACAACCUCAGUCAACUGUCACAGGGCGCAGACGUUCACGGACCCAAUCGCAAACUAAGAUAUUAUGACGGGAAAUAUCUUUAUUGAUUCUGGAAUCCACGGUAACAGUUCCUUUAGAAAUCUAGGCAGACAGUCUUGUAAAAUUAUAUAUUUUGCUGUUACAAUUCAAGAGUUGGCGAACCUUGUUACUGUUAUGUAUUUUCUGGAAACUGUUGGGGUUUCUUGGAGAUUAUCGGCCGGUCGUCAAGGGUAGAUGAUAUAGAAAUGAAAAGAGAAUACACUAUCAUUCUAGUUGAACAAGUGGAGGCUUCAUUCUCCCAGAAAUCUCAUGUCUCCUAAUAAAUCCUAAUGAAACAGAUGAGGUGAGGAGAAGAGUCCCGUCCCCCACCCAAACUUUGGUUAUAUACCCUAGACACCUUUCUUUGUCAUUUUUACAACUAUCAUAUUUCUGUGAAAACAAUUUACGACAUAUUUAACUGUAGAAUAAUAAUUGACAACUAUCUCUGCUCAGAUACUACACUACCUGAAUCCACCAUUCACAGAUGAUAGCAUAGAGAACUUAACAAAUAGUUGCCUUUAAAGCAAAAUCUAAAAAGCAAGAGUUACAAUCUGACAAAAGAUCACAACCAAGAUGAAGCAUUUUAUACCUUAGAGAGAAGUCUUUGACUGAGGUUAGUAUGAAUGGUUGACAAACUGGUGGGCUGUGAUUGGCCAUAGAGUUAUGAGUUGAAAUUGGACAGGAAAGCGUAAUGAUUUUCCCAUUAAAUCUUGGACAGUUCAUUGCGAUCCAGGUUCCAUCUUGCGAUUGGUCUACUGCUACGUAUACCAGGUAUGAAUUAAUAUAAGAUAUGCACUUGGCUAGGAACUAAGUUCUACAGAACCAGCCUAAAGGAUAUACAAAAGUGAGAAUGCCCUCAACUCUUCAACCUGAAACAGAUUUCCUGGUUGUUCUUACAGAAUAUUUAGUACAAUAAUCUCAAACUGUCAGUGUUGCAAUGCAUGUUUGAAAUGAACCAACAAUUUCCUUAUCUGAGGAAAUACAUCAUUCAGUGAAAGAAAGGUUGACCUUGGCAUAUUUCCAUCUGUCAGUCAUUUACAACUCGUGUUCAUUUUACAUUCAAUCAGCUCUUGCCUUUGUUAUCACACUCUUAGGUCACAAAUAACCACAGCCUCUGAACAGCUUGAUGCAUGAUGAAAGGCGAUGAUGCAGCAGUGGUGGAAGAGAGAGAUUGACAGCUCGGUGCUGCUCAUUUCAUUGAAUUAAUCUGCUAUUUUUGAAAAAUCCACAGAGAAUGAAGAUGAGAGGGGAUGUGACUAAGUGAGGGCACGGGCGUUAGUGUGUGUGGGUUCAAUCUAGUUCUUGGCCUACUUUAAAGCCAAGUCAUCAUUCUGGCCUAUUGGGGCUAAAUUGCCAGCCUGUGUUUGUUGUAUUGCAAGAAUCAUGAUCAUAAAUCUCUUCCUGCCAACCCACUCACUCACUGUUUUAGUAGGAUGUGCUGCAGUGCAGGUGCAUUUCAGAAUGUCACCAAAGUCGUCUGUCUGUCCCUUCUCAACUGAGUCACUAUUGUUCCAUUGCUAUUUUCAUUUUAUCCUACCUUGACAAAGCUUGAGAUGCAUGACUGUAAAGCAUGUGCAAAUUGGAGGCAGACCGAGAAAGCACCUCUAUAAAUUCCCAUCACACAUAUACGUAACACAGUACACGCUGCGGUACAAAUGCCAAUACAGCUCUAUCACUGUCUAUAAAACAGUAGGCUCGAUGCCAGCUAGGGGGAAUAUUGUAUAUACUGUGGACAGUCCCGAUCAUAAGCAUUCACCCCCUGGAUGGUUUCUCCUUUUAUUGCAUGAAUAAAUCAAUCAGGGUCAAAACAAUUUGGCACUUUUAAUACAAAGAUUUCUUGGGGAAAAAAACGUUUCAUGUGAAAGUGAUAACAGAUUUCUCCAGAGUAAUGUCAAUAAAAUAAAAAUUAUUAAAUGACAACAAUUAUUUAAAUAAUUAUUCACCUGUUUCAAGUCAGUAUUUCAGAGAUGCACCUUUGGCUGCAAUCACAGCAGUGAGUCUGUGUGGAUGGGUCUGAAUCAAUCUUGUACAUCUGCCCACUGCAGUUUUGCUCCAUUAGUCUUUACAGAACUGCUCAAGCUCUGUCAGGUUGCACGGGUAUGGGGCGUCAACAGCUUUUAUUAAAGUCCAGACACAAGUUCUUUAUAGGAUUGAGGUCUGGGCUUUGAGUCGGCCACUCCAGAACAUUUAUCUGGUUCUUUUUUGACCAUUCCUGUGCAGCUUUUGCAGUAUGCUUUGGAUCAUUGUCUUUCUGGAAAAGACCUCUUCUCCCAGGCCGUAGUUCUCUUGCAGAGUGAAGAAGAUUGUUCCCUAAGAUUUUGGUGUAUUUUGCAGAAUUCAUUCUAUGGUUUAUCUUUACAAGCCUUCAAGGUCCGGCUUCUGAGGAACAUCCCCACAACAUGAUGCAUUAACCAUCAUGCUUCACAGUGGGCAAAGUAUAUUUUUGGUGAUGUGCAGUGUUUGGUUUCCGCUAAACAUAGCGUCUUGUCUGGUGGUCAAAAAGCUCAAUUUUUGUCUGAUCAGACCUACGAAUCUUCCACUUGACCAUGGAGUCUUCCACAUGCUUUUUGGCAAAUUCUAGUCAAGAUCUAAUAUGACUUCUCUUCAACAGUUGCUUUCAACUUUACAAUAAAACUGACUGGUGAAGGUAAAUAGCCAGUAAGUUCACUAUCACAUUCUUAUUUCACAUUACUUCUAUUGGAACUUGGUGAUACCCAAAGAUGGGGUGUGUUUUUUGUGGCCUCAUCCUUCCAUCUGAGACCUCUGCACCAACAGAGCAAAAUCUUUUCCAAUACAAAGGCCUUUUUUUCUUCAUUUCAGGGAUGAAGUAACUUCUUGAAUCCAAAAGGCCUGAAGCAAGCGAACAAACUUUACAGAUCACCGGGAUGGAUAUUGCUGCAAAUGCCUUGACUGCUCAGUUCGGUGUGGUUCCAGAAGCACGUUUUCUACCUUCCCAGAAAGGGGACCUUAUAGCAUUUUCAACCUUGCUGGCUAGGAGGCAAAUUCUUUUAAGAUGGAAUUCUCCAGUCCCACCUACGCAAGCCUACUGGCUCAAAUAGAUGUUAUAUUUUCUCAAAUCGGAAAAAAAUAGACUGACACUCAGAGGAUCGGCUGAGUCCUUUGAGAACGUCUAGAACCCUUUUUUGGUAUAUGUUAAAAGCUCAGAAUGUAAUCUUUGUGUGGAUGUUUGAACUUUGCCCCAAAUAUAUGUGUGAAUAUUAGUUUUUCUUGAUCUGUGCCUUUUCCCCUUUUAAAGGGAAACAAUAAUCAUAUAUUUUUUUUUCAUAUAGUUGGGUUUUGGGGGGGUUUUGAGGUUUUUUGUUGUUGUUGUUAUUGUUUUGUUUUUUUCUGGUAAAGGAAAAUAUGCUCAAAUGUUACUUCAUUAUGUCAUGAAACUUAUGUGACCAAUAAACAAAACAAAAAAAAAGUCCACGACUGCAUAUACAGUAUAUCAGCAUUGGGUUGAUAUCGGGAUCGAAUUUUUGGAGUUGGACAGUAUCGCAAUGAAAAGUAAUUAUCGGACAACUAUAAUCAUUCACUGUAAUUUGGGAUAAUAUUAAAAAGUAUAUAAAGUAUAAUAAUAGAUUCAUUGGUAAUAACAAUGAACUUGAUGGUGUGGUAUUGAUUUUUGAUCAGCUCUACAGUACAGCA
This is a long non-coding RNA of Corythoichthys intestinalis (scribbled pipefish), 29690 nucleotides long. RefSeq lists it as uncharacterized. Lineage: Eukaryota; Metazoa; Chordata; Actinopteri; Syngnathiformes; Syngnathidae. The record is from RefSeq and is a predicted model, not a curated record. The transcript is spliced from 3 exons.